This 459-nucleotide ribosomal RNA is filed under the name uncultured bacterium. RNAcentral's name for it is "partial 16S ribosomal RNA". It matches the Rfam family "Bacterial small subunit ribosomal RNA", at positions 338 to 795 of the family's 1533-position model. The record is from RNAcentral.
CCUACGGGAGGCAGCAGUGAGGAAUAUUGGUCAAUGGGAGAGAGCCUGAACCAGCCAAGCCGCGGGAGGGAAGACGGCCCUAUGGGUUGUAAACCUCUUUUGUCGGAGAACAAAACACGGGACGUGGCCCGGACUGCGUGUAUCCGAAGAAAAAGCAUCGGCUAACUCCGUGCCAGCAGCCGCGGUAAUACGGAGGAUGCGAGCGUUAUCCGGAUUUAUUGGGUUUAAAGGGUGCGUAGGCGGUCCGUUAAGUCAGCGGUAAAAUUGCGGGGCUCAACCCCGUCGAGCCGUUGAAACUGGGAGCCUUGAGUUGGCGAGAAGUACGCGGAAUGCGCGGUGUAGCGGUGACAUGCAUAGUUUUCGCGCAUAACUCCGAUUGCGAAGGCAGCGUACCGGCGCCAGACUGACGCUGAGGCACGAAAGCGUGGGGAUCGAACAGGAUUAGAUACCCGAGUAGUC